UACGUAGGUGACAAGCGUUGUCCGGAUUUACUGGGCGUAAAGAGCGCGCAGGCGGUCGAUCAAGUCGAGUGUGAAAGCCCCCGGCUCAACUGGGGAGGGUCAUUCGAUACUGAUCGACUCGAAGGCAGGAGAGGGUAGUGGAAUUCCCGGUGUAGUGGUGAAAUGCGUAGAUAUCGGGAGGAACACCAGUGGCGAAGGCGGCUUUCUGGUCUGCUCUUGACGCUGAGGCGCGAAAGCUAGGGGAGCAAACGGG
This 253-nucleotide ribosomal RNA is filed under the name uncultured bacterium. Its description in RNAcentral is "partial 16S ribosomal RNA". It matches the Rfam family "Bacterial small subunit ribosomal RNA", at positions 524 to 776 of the family's 1533-position model. The record is from RNAcentral.